UAUAAAUUGAUCCAAAUAGUUUCAAUUUAUUACAUGUGAAAAUGGCUGAAAUUUUCAAGUUUGUUUAUACUAUUAUCCUUUUUGUUUCCCUAUUGCUUGUUGUAGUCAAUGUUUAUGGAAAGCGUAAUCCUCCAAAUUUUCAACGUAUACCAUGCCCUGAUCAGAAAACUCUUUACUGCACUCUAAAAAAAUGUUACUGCAUUUAACAGUUAAGAUUAUGUUCAAAAUGGUUGUGGCAAGGGAACUUCGCUUGGGAAAGAGUAGUGUAGGGCUUAAUUAUGCCUAGCUAUAUUUCAUUUUCCAGUGUUUUUAGUAUUGUUAGAUUAGUUUAGUUUUGUUUUGUUGUAUUCCUAAGAAAUUAUUGUUGUUAUUUGUUU
Trifolium pratense (red clover) is the source of this 377-nucleotide long non-coding RNA. RefSeq lists it as uncharacterized. The record is from RefSeq and is a predicted model, not a curated record. The transcript is spliced from 3 exons. NCBI's taxonomy places the organism in Eukaryota, Viridiplantae, Streptophyta, Magnoliopsida, Fabales, Fabaceae.